UACGUAGGGGGCGAGCGUUGUCCGGAUUUACUGGGCGUAAAGAGCGCGUAGGCGGAAGCUUAAGCGGUGCCUGAAAGCCCCCGGCUCAACCGGGGAAGGUGGUGCCGAACUGGGCUUCUUGAGGGCGAUAGAGGAGAGUGGAAUUCCGGGUGUAGCGGUGAAAUGCGUAGAGAUCCGGAGGAACACCAGUGGCGCAGGCGGCUCUCUGGGUCGGCCCUGACGCUGAGGCGCGAAAGCGUGGGGAGCGAACGGG
This 253-nucleotide ribosomal RNA is filed under the name uncultured bacterium. RNAcentral's name for it is "partial 16S ribosomal RNA". It matches the Rfam family "Bacterial small subunit ribosomal RNA", at positions 524 to 776 of the family's 1533-position model. The record is from RNAcentral.